Molecule: ribosomal RNA, 248 nt
Filed under: uncultured Lachnospiraceae bacterium
Lineage: Bacteria; Bacillati; Bacillota; Clostridia; Lachnospirales; Lachnospiraceae
Description: partial 16S ribosomal RNA
Rfam family: Bacterial small subunit ribosomal RNA
Source: RNAcentral
UACGUAGGGGGCAAGCGUUAUCCGGAUUUACUGGGUGUAAAGGGAGCGCAGGCGGCAGCCCAAGUCUGAUGUGAAAGCCCGGGGCCCAACCCCGGGACUGCAUUGGAAACUGGGCAGCUUGAGUGCCGGAGGGGUAAGCGGAAUUCCUAGUGUAGCGGUGAAAUGCGUAGAUAUUAGGAGGAACACCAGUGGCGAAGGCGGCUUACUGGACGGCAACUGACGCUGAGGCUCGAAAGCGUGGGGAGCAA